Molecule: transfer RNA, 63 nt
Filed under: Fukomys damarensis (Damara mole-rat)
Lineage: Eukaryota; Metazoa; Chordata; Mammalia; Rodentia; Bathyergidae
Rfam family: tRNA
About the family: Transfer RNA (tRNA) molecules are approximately 80 nucleotides in length. Their secondary structure includes four short double-helical elements and three loops (D, anti-codon, and T loops). Further hydrogen bonds mediate the characteristic L-shaped molecular structure. tRNAs have two regions of fundamental functional importance: the anti-codon, which is responsible for specific mRNA codon recognition, and the 3' end, to which the tRNAs corresponding amino acid is attached (by aminoacyl-tRNA synthetases). tRNAs cope with the degeneracy of the genetic code in two manners: having more than one tRNA (with a specific anti-codon) for a particular amino acid; and 'wobble' base-pairing, i.e. permitting non-standard base-pairing at the 3rd anti-codon position.
Source: Rfam by way of RNAcentral
AUAUAGCUCAGCGGUAGAGUGGCUGCCUAGCAAGCAUAAAGCCUUGGCUUCAAUCCCCAAUAU